Molecule: ribosomal RNA, 484 nt
Filed under: uncultured bacterium
Lineage: Bacteria
Description: partial 16S ribosomal RNA
Rfam family: Bacterial small subunit ribosomal RNA
Source: RNAcentral
AUUGAACGCUGGCGGCAGGCCUAACACAUGCAAGUCGAGCGGAUGAAGGGAGCUUGCUCCUGGAUUCAGCGGCGGACGGGUGAGUAAUGCCUAGGAAUCUGCCUGGUAGUGGGGGAUAACGUCCGGAAACGGGCGCUAAUACCGCAUACGUCCUGAGGGAGAAAGUGGGGGAUCUUCGGACCUCACGCUAUCAGAUGAGCCUAGGUCGGAUUAGCUAGUUGGUGGGGUAAAGGCCUACCAAGGCGACGAUCCGUAACUGGUCUGAGAGGAUGAUCAGUCACACUGGAACUGAGACACGGUCCAGACUCCUACGGGAGGCAGCAGUGGGGAAUAUUGGACGAUGGGCGAAAGCCUGAUCCAGCCAUGCCGCGUGUGUGAAGAGGGUCUUCGGAUUGUAAAGCACUUUAAGUUGGGAGGAAGGGCAGUAAGUUAAUACCUUGCUGUUUUGACGUUACCAACAGAAUAAGCACCGGCUAACUUCGUG